Molecule: long non-coding RNA, 770 nt
Organism: Pezoporus occidentalis (night parrot)
Lineage: Eukaryota; Metazoa; Chordata; Aves; Psittaciformes; Psittacidae
Exons: 2
Source: RefSeq, a predicted model, not a curated record
UGAACCGUUCGCUUUGCCUGGGUUUGUCAUGCAUCUCUUACUGAAAGGCCAGAUUUUUACAUGCAUAACUUUAAUGUACACCUUGGAGAAAGGGGUAAAUUCCCUGGUGGGCUCCUCCCUGCCAGGGUGAAGAGGAGGCAUUGCCCUGAGCCGGGGCCCUGCUCAAUGUUGUGACUCCCCCAGGCCUGUCACAGAGCUGAGAGAGGCUGUGUCUGUUCCCCUGCAGAGGAGGCAUUGGGUGGGUGAGCAGGCACUAAGGAGACAGGCAGACUCCACCAACAGUGAAGCUGCUUUGCUCUGACCGUGAGAGUUUCUCCCUCCUGUGUUGAAGAUGAUAAUGUUAUGCGGUGGUGAGAUCAUCUCCCUGGAGAUGAAACUUCGCCAGCAAAGGAGCGAAUCCGUGCUACUGAAUCUCGCUGCUCAGACAUCCGAGAUGUUAAACGGAGCAAUUCAGAAAUGCAUUGGACCAUCUUGGAGACGUGAAGUCUGGCUCCACGAGUGACACAUUAAACACAAACUGCGUGUGGAGCGUAAAUAUGUUUUUGACUUUCUAGCAGAAGAGUCUCAGCUUGCUUUGUUUUGCCCUUGAUUGUAAUGCCAGAAACCUUUCUAAAUAUCACUACUCUUGAUGGUGUUAGGAAACAUUAUAUGCCUCAUUCGUUCUCUAAUUUGUAUGAAAACAGCUUACUCCUGCCUUUUGGUUUCUGUAAUGCUUGCUGAUAGCCAGGGAGUCAAAUGCUUUAGUUUUGCUAUGAAUACUUUACUGUAAA